Molecule: long non-coding RNA, 1245 nt
Filed under: Daphnia magna
Lineage: Eukaryota; Metazoa; Arthropoda; Branchiopoda; Diplostraca; Daphniidae
Description: uncharacterized LOC123470554
Source: RNAcentral
GUAAAUGUGAAUUGCCUCUCAGUCUGGCAUUGCUUCAUUAUGUUAUAAUAUGUCAUUUAUAAACUGUAUGUAAUUGUUAUUUCGACCGCUAGAAUGCGCGGGCAUGCACUCAGCGCCGAAAUUAUUCCGAUUAAGCCACGCCCCCCAUUGUAUCCCUAUAAAUUGCGCCCUCACUCAUUUUUCGCGCCAGUUGCCCCUGAAGAGUCGUAAGAGUAAGAGCUACGGUCGGUAGGCUCUCGGGUUUUUUGCGACCAAGUGUCAAAUAAACGAAUUUGUAUUGCCGCACACAAAUACGCAAUCGAAAAUAAAUACGAAAAUUACUUUUCGAAUAUCGCCAGUGCUGCGAGCAUAACGAGGUAGAUGCCAACUAAGAAGCCAGUAGGGUCUAUAUCCACAUUCAUUGUUGAAAUAAGUAAGGCCCACAACUAUAGUAUUAUAAGUAGGGGAGACCGGGGCUGCUUUGACUUUGGGGUUGAGUGGAUUUUGCAUGUUUUGCAAAAACUAGUUGUUAAAAAAAAAAUUUUAUUUGUACAGCCUUGUUUCAAAUUCCAAAUAACUUGAGGGGAUGAAUUUUCGUAAGUUAAAACGCUUUUAUUGUUAAGUUAGAACUAAAUUUAAAAACAGGUAUCUAAAAUUAUUAAAUUUUUUUUUAUUAUUUUUAAGAUAGUUUUUCUGUGUAAUUAAGAGAAAAAAUUAAAAAUAGUAACACUUGUAGAAAAUGUUAUUCUACAUUUUUCUAUACUAAUUGUAAUUAUACUGAGUGUCCUAUUCUUACAGAAAUUUGUAAUUUUUUGUCAAAGAAAUUUUGGGGUUAAUUGGACCAGACACUUGUGGGGUUGAUUGGCAGCGUUUUCUGUGUUGAAUGGGAGGAGUUGUGGGCGGAGCUAAGUUGACGUUUUGUUUGUGGAAAGCAGAGCAGACAUUCAGUGUGGCAAAAUUUUCCAAAUAUUUAUCAUUCAUAAAUAAUAAUACUGUGUUACUAUUUGUCUUAAAUUUAUGUAUAAUAAUCUUUUCAUUUCUUGGUGAAUGUCUACUUAAAAAGAAAAGGCAUGAAAGAAGGAUUUCAGGUGAACAUAGUGUAUUACUUGGUUGACUAAUCUUGAUUAGUUCUCUCGAGAUCAUACUUAGAUGAAAAAACAACUGUAGCUGAAUAAAUACAAUAAGACGGUUAUGAAAACAAGUUCCUUUUGGCUGCACGUUCGUAUCUGGUUCUGUUUACUACAGAAAGGGCAGAAGAAUUUUUAA